AGAAUCAACGCUGGCGGCGUGCCUAACACAUGCAAGUCGAACGCGAAAGCCCCGCAAGGGGUAAGUAGAGUGGCAAACGGGUGAGUAACACGUGGGUGACCUGCCUUCGAGUGGGGGGAUAACGUCCCGAAAGGGACGCUAAUACCGCAUAACAUCCUGCCUUUGAAGAGGUGGAGAUCAAAGCUGGGGACCGCAAGGCCUGGCGUUUGAAGAGGGGCCCGCGCCUGAUUAGCUAGUUGGUGAGGUAAUGGCUCACCAAGGCAACGAUCAGUA
Molecule: ribosomal RNA, 273 nt
Filed under: uncultured bacterium
Lineage: Bacteria
Description: partial small subunit ribosomal RNA
Rfam family: Bacterial small subunit ribosomal RNA
Source: RNAcentral